GUAUCAUCACCGUGUAUGAUUAUAAAUAGACAUGCGAAGCGGUUGAAGUUCAGCACAGUCUAAAACCAUCUCUACUUCUCUUUAUCCAACUACUGCUCCAAAAUAUGAAGACCUUUCUUAUUAUUUGUGUUUUCUGCUUCUUAUUCUCUGCUCUGCCUUUCUCUAUAGCUCGACAAGUUCAUCGAGUUGAACACAAUGGUUAUUAUGUACCAUUUCCACCAGUAAACAAAGUGCCAAGAACAGGUAGCGUAACUACGAGCUGUGUGGGCGGCAAAUAUGCAGCAUGCACCAUACCUAUACCACCACCUGGAAAAGGAUUUCCUAAUAGACGAGGACCCAUAUGCCCUUGCCGCCAUUGAUCUCAAUUAUCACCUUUUUUUAGAAAAGGAAAAUAUUCAUCUUUUCUUUGAUCUUAAUUCUAGUGUGUUGUGAACGAGUUAGAUAUACGUUGAAUGAUGUUGUUUUAGUAGAUAGCAGCAGCUUUCCUUUCCUAGCGGGUGGGAUUAAGGUUUACAUAUCUUUUAUUUCAAUUCUAUUGUUUUAAGUGUGAUUAUUCAUAAUUAUUGAUUUUGUUUGUUUGCUUCAAUUAUUUUUAUUAUAAUAAAAGAUUUUGAUUGAGUUUA
Long non-coding RNA from Gossypium raimondii (Peruvian cotton), 623 nucleotides. RefSeq lists it as uncharacterized. NCBI's taxonomy places the organism in Eukaryota, Viridiplantae, Streptophyta, Magnoliopsida, Malvales, Malvaceae. The record is from RefSeq and is a predicted model, not a curated record. The transcript is spliced from 2 exons.